Hippocampus comes (tiger tail seahorse) is the source of this 408-nucleotide long non-coding RNA. RefSeq lists it as uncharacterized. The transcript is spliced from 2 exons. The record is from RefSeq and is a predicted model, not a curated record. NCBI's taxonomy places the organism in Eukaryota, Metazoa, Chordata, Actinopteri, Syngnathiformes, Syngnathidae.
GACCGACAGGAAGAUGUAGUCGAGCAUGAACAGUCCAAUUUGCUCUUUAAUGCAGCUUUUACUCAAUUUUAAAUGUGAUUUAAUUUUAGGUUGAUAUGAAAAUGAGGGCAUUUAUGGACCACACACUUGCUAACUGAAGCUUCAUGGGGUCUGGACCAAGCCAGGAGGAAAAGUCAGAGAUGCCCUCAUCCUCAAAGCCCCAAAGUGAGUCCUCAGAUUUUGACUCUGUGUCACAUCCUCCUGCCAUUCUCAUCACUGCUCCAUCACAAGAUGACAUCUAUGCCUCCUCAUCUAACUUCACUAUAGCUGAUGCUGUAAAAGAGCGAAGGCCCCCCUCAGCAGCCAUUGUUGUUGGCAAAAAAUUCAUGAAGCGAAAGUGAUUAAAAGGCUUACCACUGGUGUCACUGA